AAAAACAAAAAGUAUAUUAGGAAAGUGAGAACACGAAUAGUUGGAAGUUUGUAGCUUCUUUCUUAUACGCUCCUCCAAAUUCCCAAUCUUUAUACACUUCCAUUGUUAUGAUUCAAGCUACAAUCAAGUGAUAUCUUUAGUUCUAUCUAUAAUCAAAGCGAGAUCUUUAAUUCUUGCCCUCCAAUGUUAAAAGAGUUUUAAUGCAUAUCCUCAUACGGUUUUAAGGCGAUGACACAGGCAUGGAAUCGCUCUCAUCUUCAAUCAUUUGAACCAAUAAAAUCUCCAAGACCCUUAUCAUGGUCACCCUUUCCAUUCAAUAGCUAUAAUGGUGAAGCGCUUUUCAGUGUUGUAUAAUUUGAUUCAUGCUUUACUUUGAAUUGAUGAAGAAGACUUCGAUUUUUAUUGGUUGUAUGAGCACUGUCAACAACAACUCAAAAAGUUAUAUGUACAAAUUCUUUAUAUUUCUUUUUUUUUCAUCUGUAUUGUUAUUAUUAAAUUCCAUAAAAUGAUAUGUAUGUUGCUUUUUUUGUUUACUUGUUAUGUGUUUCUCUACUAAACUUAAUCAACUAGCAAAUACAAGUGUAGUAAGAACUGGUGGAAAGCGGAUCAUUUCCUGAGCAGGCACAAUAACAUCCAGUAUGUUGGUCCUGAUAUAAUAACUUAGAUAUCAAAGUUUUAUAUAUACAUAUGUCUCUGACCAAACACAAGAUUUACACAAGUAGACUUCUCCUGAAUCACCAUGAGGUGUCUCGGAGAAUAUCCACACGUGUGGUUUGGUUCAUUCGUAAGGCCAAAUUGUGUUUAAGGAAACAUUCAUGUUAAUGGCAUCGUUAUUUUGUCUCAGCCAUGGUGUUGUGUUUAUUUUAGUGGCUUGUUAUACUAUAAAUUAAAAGUGUCGAACUUUUGAAAGUACUCAUAUGUUUUUGUUAGAAUGUUCUAUAUCUAUUCACAUCAAAAACAACCUCUAUACCUCAGACAAGAUGGGGUGUUUUGUGUACGCCUCACUUUUUCAUAAGCGCACUCAUGAGAUCACAUUGGUCAUGGUGUUAUUUGUUCUAGAUCUAAUCAUACUUUUUGAGAUAAUAUUUCUUACCUGCAUUUCUUUUAAAAUUUAUUCACUUAACUUAAGGAAAUGUGUCUAAUUUAUAUGGUGAAAUUUGUUUGUUUAAAUGUCAAUUGUUACUUUUAAAGAAAAUUCGUUAAUAUUAUUUCACUCUGACAUACCCUAUUGUUCUGUAAUUUGGUAAAUUACAACAACUUAGAAAAUGCACAAGGUUGAACAUACCAUAUUUACUUGUAAAUAUGUUACUCUUUCUGCUAUGGAAACUGGACAACCAGCACUUUCCAUUAUCUCAAGUAAAAUAGGAAUUGAGACUUCGCAUUCUCCAUAAAUCAUUUGGAAUAAUAUGCUUGCGUAUCAUCUUGGUUGUUAAAAGAUUAGCUCUCUAGAUUUUAAAAUUAAAUUCAGCAUACAUUCGUCAAAUGUUUAUGUCCUUGACCAUUGCAGGUGCAUUAAACUACUACGCUUCGUCAACACACUGCUAGCCUUGCAAUCACAAUAUGUGUAUUAGUGACGCUAGGCUGUUGUAAUCUGCCUUGACUUUGUCAAUUGCUAGCCCUUACACUAAGAAUAUAUGAAGUCUUUGUUGGGUUUUAUUUGCCCUGAUUUCUUACCAUAAAUAGGUUUUCCUUUUAGAAAAAUAUUUUGGAUUGACUAAUCCUUUUAUCUAGUAGGAAAAAGUUUAGGACUCUAUAAAUAGAAGAGUGUUCCUUCUAACUUAAUCAGCAUUUACAAUGUAGUCUUAAAGGGCUUUGAGAGUUUUGGUUAGGGGGUGAAUUUUUGGGUCACAAGCUUGAUACGUUAUCACUUCUGUGAACCUCUCAUGUAUUCCGAGUGAAUUGGUUAAGGUUGUUUCUCUCUGUAUUUUGUACUCUCAUAUUUAUGGUGGAUUGCUUAUCUCCUUUAUGGACGUAGGUCGAUUGACCGAACCACGUUAAAUCUUUGUGACUUUUGGUAUAUUUCUCGUUGUCUUCUUACUCGAGGUCUUUUGAGGUUUGUUUUGCAGCUUUCGCGUUUACACUUGAUUAUUUCCGAUCCUAACAAGUGGUAUCAGAGCCAGAUUCAAUGAUCGAGUCAGCUUCAGUGGUUCGAUAAUCGAUGAUUGAACCAGGUUAGAAAGAGGUGUUCAUCUUGGCGUGUGUAGUUUUAGCAGCAACCUUUUUUACAGUAAUGAAGAUUUUGUUGGAGAAAUUGUUUCAGAAAGGUUCUCUGUGUUGAGACAUAAAUUUUGCAAAGGAGAUUAUGGAGAUGAGAAGCAAGUUGUUGAAGAUUAAGUAAAGAAGGUGGACAAAUUUAUUUUGUCAGAAAUUUAGGCCAAGGGGGAGAUUUGUUGGGUUUUAUUUGCCCUGAUUUCUUACCAUAAAUAGGUUUUCCUUUUAGAAAAAGGUUUUAGAUUGACUAAUCCUUUUUUCUAGUAGGAAAAGGUUUAGGACUCUAUAAAUAGAGGAACGUUCCUUCUAACUUAAUCAGCAUUCACAAUGUAGUCUUAAAGGGCUUUGAGAGUUUUGGUUAGGGGGAGAAUUUGUGGGUCACAAGCUUGAUACGUUGUCACUUGUGUGAACCUCUCAUGUAUUCCGAGUGAAUUGGUUGAGGUUGUUUCUCUCUGUAUUUUGUACUCUCAUAUUUAUUGUGGAUUGCUCAUUUCCUUUGUGGACGUAGGUCGAUUGACCAAACCACGUUAAAUCUUUGUGUCUUUUGGUAUAUUUCUCGUUGUCUUCUUACUCGUGGUCUUUUGAGGUUAGCUUUGCAGCUUUCGCGUUUACACCUGCUUAUUUCCGAUCGUAUCAGUCUUCUCCACUCUUAGCAGGUUGUAAUCCACGUGAAGAUUAUUACCCUCCAAUUCUUAAAUAGUAUAAUUGCUUAUACUUUUAGGGUUUUUCGGUGAUGACAAUGUGAUGGAAUCGAUCUCGUCUUCAUCAGCUGAACCAAUCGAAACUUUAAACUUAGUCAUUUUAGCUCAUUAAUCUACCUUGUUCAUCUAUGAAACUAAUAAUCAUGGGAUUUGUGUGAAUCCCUCAAUUAUAUCUACUGCAUGUAAGUCAAAAUCCUUGUGUACUCGUCUAGAAUAACAAGUUCUACUAUUGCCUCGAAGCUGAACUCUAGCCUUUAAAAUAUGUAGAUCCACAAUCCACAUAUGUUAUCACAAAAAUUAAAGCUCUAUCUAAUUGCAGUUUUAUCAAUGUAUAAUGUCUUAAUGGAUUGAACCCCAUUUAGGAUUCAUAUGGAUGAUUCUACCACAAUCAACUCAGAGAAAAUUUGCAUCCCUUUGUAGAUUUCUUCAAAUUAAAUCCACAUUGUUGAUGGGGAAUACUAGCUAAAUUAAAUCAUAGAUUUGAUAUUAAUGGACACCCCAUGCUCUCACUAGAUAAAAGUACACAAAUCUCUUGAAUUUACUUCAAACUUUAUCUUAUCCUAAUAGAAAAUUUUACCUUAUUAGCAGAUUGAACUUACAUGUAAUAAGGAAUGAACUAUGAUACACAUACUAUUAUUUCCUCUAAUUAUCGUGUAGAUGCCUCCUUAAGUAUGGUAUACCAUAUUUAGCUAGAUUUAAUAUCUUCUUUUCUACUCUAUGAAUUUUUUGAAUGCGGUUAAUCUAAAAAUCACGUGCAAAAGAUAAAACUAAAUUAGUAAAACAUCUACAAGAAUGUUUCCUUUUUAAGAGAAUGUUUACUCUUGCGAAAUAACUCUUCUCAAUCUCCUAAUGAUACUAAUAUUCAAUGCCACAUUUUAUUACCCUUUAAUUUCCACUCUCCCUAUAAAAUAUGCACCAUAAGUAAAGAGUAAGACUCAAUAAUGAUAUUGACAAUUUCAUGGUCAAUAUAGUAAUUAAGAUUCUCCCUUAUGUCUAUAGAUUUAAAUAUAAUGUCGGUUAUAUCAUGAAUUUUGAAACCUUUAGCUACUACCAGAUUAACACUAUGAUCCCUGAUAUAAAAAAGUUUUGGAACUAGCCAUAAGUCAAAGACCUAAUCUAGAGCCUCACACGUUGAACUAAGGUUGGUAACACUGUUUUAUGUCCUAAAUUAAUGCAUAUCAAUCAUUUAGGAGGUUUUAGAGUUAAAACCUCAAGGAACGUCCAUGACGUCCAAUGAAUUGUGAAAAAGAGGUAGUAUGCCUUGGCAUGUUUCAUGGGGUUUUAAGAGUUGGAAUUCAAUGAAAUUAGGUAAAAAGGUGUUAAACAUAUUUUAGAGUGUGUUUACGAUCAAAACGUCUGGGUAAGAUUCCCCAAAGACCACUUUAGGGUCCCUUGAGGAGGACCUUUCCAAAAUGACCAAAACUCUCAAAUGACAGUGUCCAAUUACAAGACCAAUCAACAAGCCGUUGUCUAGGCGACGAGGCAUCGAUGGCCUCCAUAGGUGAUGCCUUAUCCAUUUUCAAAAUGUGUCCAAAAACCAAGUCUGUGACACCAUCGACUGUUGUGCAGCACGGAGGGCAUGAGCUAGUGUCGAUUGACCUACAGACCGUAGGUCGGGGUCUCGUUGGUCAGUUCUGGUUUUUACUAUCCAAUUAAAGUAAGUCAUUUAAUUUAAUUAGUUUGUUAGGUAGUUAAUUAAGGGUUAGGGGAAGUCUAGUUAAGUUAAUUAAGAGACUAUAUAAAUACAUAACCCUCAUUAAACUAACCUAACUCACUUCAAUCCCCAAAUUUAAAUCUCUUUUCCUUCUCUUUACUUUCUCUCUUCCCAAAGAAGACUUCACUGGAGACCAAGAUCAAAGUUUUAGGGCAGCAAGAAGUUUACUUUUCUCCAUUAAUAUUCAAGGAUUGUUAAGGUAUGUGAACUCUUCACCUUUUAAACUCCUAUCCCCAAAGGGUUCUUUAAAAUUGAUUUCCAAACGUUGAGAAAAACAUGGGUAUCAUUUUUAAUCCAAAAUUGAUGUUCUAAAUUGUUUUGUUGUUUAAUUAUUUUUAUUAUUAUGAAUGAAUUAUGAUGAAUUAUUGCUGAAUUAGGGUAGUUUUGAUGUUAUGGAUUGAUGUCGAACUGAUUAGUGAUGAUGCAGUUAACUUAGCUCUUGUAAUUAACUAUUGUAUGAUGUUAUUAAGCCUAUUAUAAGAUGAAUAUGGUUGGUUGAUGGUAAUACCAUGGAGAAGGAUUGUGAAGGUGAAUUGGUAAGACUUAUUAUAUUGAAUCAUUACUUCAAUUGUGAUGGCUUAUACUUGAUGAUGGUAUUCAAUUGAAUUGUUGGUUGUGAUUAGAUUAUAUAGUUGAUGGUAUUGAUUAUAUGGAUUGUGAUAUUAUGAUUAAGGUUUAAUGAUAUAAAUUUGAUUAUGAAUCACUUAUGUUCCUUACUAUGAGUUGAUGAUGAUAAUGUUUAAACCUCACAUAUGAGGAUUGUUAUGAAAGGAAGUUCUGAUGCAAUUCCAAAUGAGCUGAUAAUUAUGAUAUACAAAGGGUUAGUCCUCUAUGAAAUAUAUAUUUCACUAGUUGGCCUUGAUGGAAAUCCUAGGAGGGUGUUUUUAUAAAGUAAAUAAUAUGCAUAUGUUGACUUUACAUGUUGAUGAACUCAUAUGAUGUUAGUUUCACUUAUGAAAAUGUUAUUGGUCUAUAUUGCUAAAUAUGAGGAUGAUUACUCAUGAUGCUAAGUUAUAUGAUGUUAGAUAUUGCUUAUGAUCCUUUGUUUGGUUUAUUUGGUUGUGUGGGAUUAUGGGACUUCACUUAAUCAUUGCACUUGUAAGCUUGGUGAUGGGUUAUGAGUAAUGGUCUCACAUAUAUUGUAAUGUUAUGAACUCUUGUUCAUGAUUUGUUGUUAUAAAAUGAUGUUAGAGUUGAUUGGUUAUGAGAUCUAGUAUGCUACUACACAUGUUGACUUGACUUUAUUUGAUGAUGUUGGUCUUGUGUCAAGGAAUAUAUGAUGAUUUUCUUAUAUGUGUUCUUGGUUGUGCAUAAGGCUUUUCAAAGUAACUUGGCAUGGUUUUGAUCAAAUGUCCUUUUAAGCAUGAUGUCAAACAUUAUAUCUAAAAUGCUAAUCAUCAUACACUUUCAUUUUUUUAUUCAAGCUACAAUCAAGGUGAGAUCUUUAAGUAUAGCUACAAUAAAAGUGAGAUCUUUAAUUUUUAUACUCCAAUGAUAAAAGAGUUUUAAUGCUUAUACUUUUGUGGAUUUCAGGUGAUUACACAUUGAUGAAAUCGAUCUCUUCUUUAAUCCAUUGAACCAAUCGAAACUCUAAGCUUUGUCAUUCAACUCAUUACUCUACCUUUUUCAUCUUCGAAACUAAUCAUCAUGGAAGUUGUGAAUUCAUCAGUUAUAUCUACUACCACUAAGUCCAAAUCUGGUGUAAAUAUAACUAGUCAUGUAAAAUAAGUUCUACUAUUGUCCGGAAGCUUAACUCUAGCCUUCAAAAUGUACAGAUCCAGUAUCCACAUAUGCUAUGACCAAAAAUAAAGCUCUAUGUUUCAGCUCUAUUUGAAUGGAUUGAACCCCAUUCAGGAUUAGUACCAUCAUUUAAGACUUUAUUUAGAUGAUUCUACCACAAUGAAAUCGGAGAAAAAUUUAUGUUGCAUCCUUUUGUACGUUUUUGCAGAUCUGCCUUGUUGAUGGUGAAUUUUAGCAGAAACUAAAGUUUUGAUUUGGUACUAAGGACAGUCCAAGCUCUCACCAGGUGUAAGUAUACAAAUCAAUUGAAUUUACUUCAAACUUUAGCUUAUCAUAAUAGAAAUUUUACCUUAGCAGAUUGAACUUACAUGUAUUCUGUAAUGGAUCAUGUACUAUGAUACGCAUAAAUCUAUUAUCUCUGUUAAUCGUGUAGAUGCCUCCUUAUGUAUGAUGUAAAAUAUUUAUCUAGAUUGAGUAUCUUCAUUUUUGCGUUGUAAAUUUCUUGAAAGAUAAAACUUAAUUAGUAAAAAUUACUCAAGAAUAUUUUAUUUUUCUAAGGGAAUGUUUACUCUUGCAAAAUAUCUUUUCUCAAUCUACCGAUGAUACUUAUUUUCAAUUCCACACUCCAAGAUACUUUCCACUCACCCUAUAAAAUAUGCGUCAUAUAUAGCUACAACGUCAAAUUCGUCACUGAUUAUUCGCUUUUGAUGACAAAUUUUACUUUUCGUGCUUAAAUAUAUGAG
This 7109-nucleotide long non-coding RNA is filed under the name Solanum lycopersicum (tomato). RNAcentral's name for it is "partial TCONS_00141895". Lineage: Eukaryota; Viridiplantae; Streptophyta; Magnoliopsida; Solanales; Solanaceae. The record is from RNAcentral.